CUAUCUCUUUUUCUCUCUCCGUUUUCUCCGUUUUCAUUCUUUUUUCUUUUUUCUUUUGCAUUCCAUUCUUUUUCACACCGUUUCGUCUGAUAUCGAUUUUUCUUUCAUCAUCCACGUUCUAUCCAUCAUCAGCUUCACUUCGUUUCACGCGUCUCUACGAAUCGGUUACGUAUCGUUGCGUCUGUUUGUACAUUUUGAUUUUCACUCUGUGUUCAUCCUUCGUUCGUUAUCGUCACGCUAUUUCCCAUUUAUUUCUAUUCUUAUAUACUUACAUGAUGUAUUUUACGGGAGAGGAAGCAUGUAUGGUUAAGCGCGGCGCGGUAGAUCGCUGAUUGGUCGGACACUCCUACUACUACUACUACUACUACUAUUACUACUACUACUACUAUUACUACUACUACUACUACUAUUACUACUACUACUACUACUACUACUACUACUACUACUAUUACUAUUACUACUGCUACUACUACUACUACUACUACUACUACUACUAUUACUAUUACUACUACUAUUACUACUUACCUACUUACUUACUACUGUUACUUACAACUACUACUAUCAUUACUAUACUAUUACCACUACUAUCUAUCCCUUACUUACGUUAAUUGUUAUCACUCGUCGAAGCCGAAUUUCUAGAUAUCGGUCCAGGGAUCCGAGGUAAAUCGAUACUAAGAAUUGACUGGUGGACGGGAACGUUCGCAAGAGAACGUGCGAAAGUGUGGAGGAUCGAGGACGAGGAGAGUCGAGAGGCUCGGCUUCGACGACUUUAGCGGAAAACAUCCCUAGAUGUGUGUACGAGUUCGGAAAACCGGAUGCCGGAUUGUCCUUAGCGCGAUGAUCCGUAAUAUAUAGGUUGACGAACAGACACUGACGCAGGUGCGGAGGCAGGGGAUCGGCGAUCACCCGUGUACUACAGCUGUGUUCGGCACGUUCGGCUUCCUGCUGCCGCCUAGCCCCGCUUUGCUUACAAUGUAUUACAAUCGCGCUAAUAAUGUAAAAGGAAAAAAAAAAAAAAAAAAAAAAAGGAAAGGAAAGGUAGAGCGGUGUAAAGCGGCUGCUAUCCGGGAGAUACCGGAUACCUUCACCUCGCGUCCGGGAAAUAAUUGGUCCACAGGUGGACGAGGAAUCUCUAGGGACGAGACAGACACGAUGAGAGGGCAGGCCAGCAGGCUACACCAGGGUGUGAGAGCACUGAUAUGGCAGAGAUGCGAAAUGCGGGAGAGAGAGAGAGACACGGUUUGGAGAUGGAGAGAGAGCGAGACGACACGAUGAGAGAGGUCCUCCUCCGUGUACUCCUCCCGAGAUCGGAAAAAAAA
This is a long non-coding RNA of Apis florea (little honeybee), 1319 nucleotides long. Lineage: Eukaryota; Metazoa; Arthropoda; Insecta; Hymenoptera; Apidae. The record is from RefSeq and is a predicted model, not a curated record.